RNAcentral lists this unclassified non-coding RNA (245 nucleotides) under plant metagenome. RNAcentral's name for it is "partial contains small subunit ribosomal RNA, internal transcribed spacer 1, and 5.8S ribosomal RNA". The record is from RNAcentral.
UCUCCGUUGGUGAACCAGCGGAGGGAUCAUUACCGAGUUUACAACUCCCAAACCCCUAUGUGAACGAUACCAAACUGUUGCCUCGGCGGGGUCACGCCCCGGGUGCGUCGCAGCCCCGGAACCAGGCGCCCGCCGGAGGGACCAACCAAACUCUUUCUGUAGUCCCCUCGCGGACGUUAUUUUUACAGCUCUGAGCAAAAAUUCAAAAUGAAUCAAAACUUCCAACAACGGAUCUCUUGGUUCUG